This 761-nucleotide ribosomal RNA is filed under the name uncultured bacterium. Its description in RNAcentral is "bacterial SSU rRNA". It matches the Rfam family "Bacterial small subunit ribosomal RNA", at positions 46 to 799 of the family's 1533-position model. The record is from RNAcentral.
GCGGGAAGCAGCCGGAUCCCUUCGGGGUGAAAGCUGUGGAACGAGCGGCGGACGGGUGAGUAACACGUGGGCAACCUGCCUGUAAGACUGGGAUAACUCCGGGAAACCGGGGCUAAUACCGGAUAAUCUUUUGCACCGCCUGGUGCAAAGGUAAAAGAUGGUUCUGCCAUCACUUACAGAUGGGCCCGCGGCGCAUUAGUUAGUUGGUGAGGUAAUGGCUCACCAAGACAGCGAUGCGUAGCCGACCUGAGAGGGUGAUCGGCCACACUGGGACUGAGACACGGCCCAGACCCCUACGGGAGGCAGCAGUAGGGAAUCUUCCGCAAUGGACGAAAGUCUGACGGAGCAACGCCGCGUGAGUGAUGAAGGUUUUCGGAUCGUAAAGCUCUGUUGUUAGAGAAGAACAGGUGUGAGAGGGAAUGCUCAUGCUGUGACGGUAUCUAACCAGAAAGCCACGGCUAACUACGUGCCAGCAGCCGCGGUAAUACGUAGGUGGCAAGCGUUGUCCGGAAUUAUUGGGCGUAAAGCGCGCGCAGGCGGCUUCUUAAGUCUGAUGUGAAAGCCCACGGCUCAACCGUGGAGGGUCAUUGGAAACUGGGGAGCUUGAGUGCAGAAGAGGAGAGUGGAAUUCCAUGUGUAGCGGUGAAAUGCGUAGAUAUAUGGAGGAACACCAGUGGCGAAGGCGGCUCUCUGGUCUGUAACUGACGCUGAGGCGCGAAAGCGUGGGGAGCAAACAGGAUUAGGUACCCUGGUAGUCCACG